This 502-nucleotide ribosomal RNA is filed under the name uncultured bacterium. RNAcentral's name for it is "bacterial SSU rRNA". It matches the Rfam family "Bacterial small subunit ribosomal RNA", at positions 10 to 507 of the family's 1533-position model. The record is from RNAcentral.
AGUUUGAUCAUGGCUCAGAUUGAACGCUGGCGGCAUGCCUUACACAUGCAAGUCGAACGGCAGCACGGACUUCGGUCUGGUGGCGAGUGGCGAACGGGUGAGUAAUGUAUCGGAACGUACCUUUCAGUGGGGGAUAACGUAGCGAAAGUUACGCUAAUACCGCAUAUUCUGUGAGCAGGAAAGCAGGGGAUCGCAAGACCUUGCGCUGAUUGAGCGGCCGAUAUCAGAUUAGCUAGUUGGUGGGGUAAAGGCCUACCAAGGCUACGAUCUGUAGCGGGUCUGAGAGGAUGAUCCGCCACACUGGAACUGAGACACGGUCCAGACUCCUACGGGAGGCAGCAGUGGGGAAUUUUGGACAAUGGGGGCAACCCUGAUCCAGCCAUGCCGCGUGAGUGAAGAAGGCCUUCGGGUUGUAAAGCUCUUUCGGCCGGGAAGAAAUCGCAUAGGCUAAUACCCUGUGUGGAUGACGGUACCGGAAUAAGAAGCACCGGCUAACUACGUG